GGUGGUGGCUCAGUGGUAGAGUGCUUGUCUAGCAUGUGUGAGGCAGUAGUUUUGAUUCUCAGCACCACAUAUAAAUAAAUAAAAAUAAAAUUCUAUCAACAACUAAAAUAAAAUUUAAAAAAAUUAUAACUGGUGCUGGGGAUGUAACUCAGUUGAUACAGUGCUUGCCUAGCAUACACAAGGUCCUGAGUUCAAUCUCCAACACCACCA
Molecule: transfer RNA, 210 nt
Filed under: Marmota monax (woodchuck)
Lineage: Eukaryota; Metazoa; Chordata; Mammalia; Rodentia; Sciuridae
Description: tRNA.Ala
Source: RNAcentral